CCCUUAGAUGUCCUGGGCCGCACGCGCGCUACACUGAACGGAUCAGCGCGUUUUCCCUUCCCGAGAGGGACGGGUAACCUGCUGAACCCCGUUUGUGGUAGGGAUCGGGGCUUGCAAUUAUUCCCCGUGAACCAGGAAUGCCCAGUAAGUGCAAGUCAUAAGCUUGCGUUGAUUACGUCCCUGCCCUUUGUACACACCGCCCGUCGCUACUACCGAUUGAACGUUUUAGUGAGGUACUCGGACUGAGCCUCAGAAGAUUCACGUCUUUUGUGCUGCUCGGGAAGAUUCCCAAACUUGAGCGUUUAGAGGAAGUAAAAGUCGUAACA
Molecule: ribosomal RNA, 326 nt
Filed under: uncultured eukaryote
Lineage: Eukaryota
Description: partial 18S ribosomal RNA
Rfam family: Eukaryotic small subunit ribosomal RNA
Source: RNAcentral